Molecule: non-coding RNA, 207 nt
Organism: Vicia faba (fava bean)
Lineage: Eukaryota; Viridiplantae; Streptophyta; Magnoliopsida; Fabales; Fabaceae
Source: the annotation of a GenBank genome assembly
AUGCGUGAUAACAACACUAAUAUGCAAUCUUCCCUCAUCGUUCAUCAACACUCACGUAACAACAGAAUCACAAUGAUUCACAGAAAACGCACAAAUAAGAAGAAGAUAGAAGAAGAAGAAGAGGAUAGGAGUACAAGAACCAAGAAAAGAAAACGGAGAAGAAGAAGAGUGGAUAGAAGAAGAAGAACACGAAGGAAAAGCGAAUAG